Armigeres subalbatus is the source of this 598-nucleotide long non-coding RNA. RefSeq lists it as uncharacterized. The transcript has 3 exons. NCBI's taxonomy places the organism in Eukaryota, Metazoa, Arthropoda, Insecta, Diptera, Culicidae. The record is from RefSeq and is a predicted model, not a curated record.
UAAAAGAUCGCAGCCGCAAGCAACGAUUACUUCUGUCAUUCCGAUUCGCCGCCAUAUGGGUAAAACGAGAAUUAGUUACAGCGUUUCUCACAUCCGUUCGCCGUCCGCACUUGCACCACUGUUCGUGUUGCUUCGCGGGUGAAAAAAGGUGCCACCGGUGCUGCUGCAGUGACGGAAAAAUCUCACCGCAAAAUCGUGGUCGCCAUACAGUCGGAAAUUUGUAAGCCGCGUAGUGAUAGUGGAACUUCACCAAAAGAUUGCCUUCGUAGUGGCAUCGUAGCGACGGACAAAAGCGCAAAAUCUUAGAACCCCGCGUCGGGACACUGACGGGUUGUUCGUGGAGCCACGUAUUAGUCAAAAACGGGCCCGUUGGAGGAAUAAAACCCGAUAUUCGUCUCGUGUCGGGAGAUUGCAGUUCGAGAAUUUCGGGAAAGUACUUGCAAAAGCACAAUUCGCAAGGAAACACGCCGGAGGAGCGUGGGAAUUGCCGACUGAAAGCAAACAUUCCGCAGUGCGAUCCUGGGAGUCAACGAAUCCAACGGAAUCAGUUGACUCGGUCGAGACGAUACCGGAUUGGUGCGGAAAAUCACGAAGAAAG